This 253-nucleotide ribosomal RNA is filed under the name uncultured bacterium. RNAcentral's name for it is "partial 16S ribosomal RNA". It matches the Rfam family "Bacterial small subunit ribosomal RNA", at positions 524 to 776 of the family's 1533-position model. The record is from RNAcentral.
UACAGAGGUCUCAAGCGUUGUUCGGAUUCAUUGGGCGUAAAGAGCUCGUAGGCGGUUUGUCACGUCUGCUGUGAAAUCCCGAGGCUCAACCUCGGGCCUGCAGUGGGUACGGGCAGACUGGAGUGCGGUAGGGGAGAAUGGAAUUCCUGGUGUAGCGGUGGAAUGCGCAGAUAUCAGGAGGAACACCGAUGGCGAAGGCGGCUCACUGGCCCGGAACUGACGCUGAGGUGCGAAAGCGUGGGGAGCAAACAGG